This is a long non-coding RNA of Oncorhynchus nerka (sockeye salmon), 1212 nucleotides long. RefSeq lists it as uncharacterized. The transcript has 2 exons. The record is from RefSeq and is a predicted model, not a curated record. NCBI's taxonomy places the organism in Eukaryota, Metazoa, Chordata, Actinopteri, Salmoniformes, Salmonidae.
CCCCCCCCUUUGGAAGAGCUGUGUGGAGUCAUUUAUCUCCCUGCGGAGGAAAUUGUUCCUGGACAAGGAGAAGGCCGAGGAGCUUUGGCUCAACAGGCUGAUGUCUCUCCGCUAGGAGAGGCUCAUGGGUAGUCCUGUGCCCUGAUUGGACGAGCUCUAAUUAGUCUAUCCUUGUCAGGCCACACCGUCAGGAACAAUCCCCUGUCCCUAAACAUGAAUCUUUAUACAUUUUUAUUUAAUCCCUCAUUCACUGGACUUCCCUCAGACUUUUUGUCAAGAAACUACAAUGUUUCAAGAAGAUUUGUAUUUUGUCAUUUAAAAAAAUUAAGAUUUAAAAUAAUAAUUUAAGAUUUUUUUUAAAUUAUAAACUUGGAUUAGCUAACACAACGUGCCAUUGGAACACAGGAGUAAUGGUUUCUGAUAAUGGGCCUCUGUACACCUAUGUAGAUAUUCCAUAAAAAAUCUGCUAUUUUCAGCUACAAUAGUAAUUUACAAUAUUAACAAUGUCUACACUGUAUUUAUGAUCAAUUUGAUGUUAUUUUAAUGGGCAACAAAUGUGCUUUUCUUUCAAAAACAAGGACAUUUCUAAGUGACCCCAAACUUUUGAACGGUAAUAUAUUAAGUAGGAAAGAAAUUCCACGAAAUAACUUUAAACAAAGUACACAUGUUAAUUUAAAUGCAUUCCAGGCGACUACUUCAUGAACCUGGUUGAGAGAAUGCCAAGAGUUUGCAAAGCUGUCAUCAAGGCAAAGGGUGGUUACUUUGAAGAAUCUAAAAUAUAUUUUGAUUUGUUAAACACUUAUUUGGUUACUACAUGAUUCCAUAUGUGUUAUUUUAUAGUUUUGAUGUCUUUACUAUUUUUCUACAAUGUAGAAAAUAGUCCAAAUAAAGAAAAACCCUUGAAUGAGUAGGUGUGUCUAAACUUUGCACUGGUACUGCAUAUGUGUGUACAUACAGUUUGGACACACCUACUCAUUCAGGGGUGUUCUGACGAAUUGAGGCUGUUCUGAGGGCAGAGGAUGUAACUCAAUAUUAGGAAGGUGUUCCUAAUGUUUUGUACACUCAGUGUAUGUAUAUAGUAUAAUGGUGUGUAUCGACAGUAUAUGAAUAGGAACGGUGUUUACAUCAGUAGUUAUAUACGAUGAGCCUUGACUAGAAUACAGUAUAUACAUAUGAAGUGGGUAAAACAGUAUGUAAACAUUAUUAUAGUGA